Molecule: ribosomal RNA, 460 nt
Filed under: uncultured bacterium
Lineage: Bacteria
Description: partial 16S ribosomal RNA
Rfam family: Bacterial small subunit ribosomal RNA
Source: RNAcentral
CCUACGGGGGGCAGCAGUGAGGAAUAUUGGUCAAUGGGCGCGAGCCUGAACCAGCCAAGUAGCGUGAAGGAUGACUGCCCUACGGGUUGUAAACUUCUUUUAUAAAGGAAUAAAGUGAGGCACGUGUGCCUCUUCGUAUGUACUUUAUGAAUAAGGAUCGGCUAACUCCGUGCCAACCGCCGCGGUAAUACGGAGGAUCCGAGCGUUAUCCGGAUUUAUUGGGGUUAAAGGGAGCGUGGGUGGAUUGUUAAGGCCGUUGUGAAAGUUUGCGGGUCAACCGUCAAAUUGCAGUUGAAACUGGGAGUCUUGAGUACAGUAGAGGUAGGCGGAAUUCGUGGUGUAGCGGUGAAAUGCUUAGAUAUCACGAAGAACUCCGAUUGCGAAGGCAGCUCACUGGCCUGCUACUGACACUGAGGCUCGAAAGUGUGGGUAUCGAACAGGAUUAGAUACCCGUGUAGUC